Molecule: RNA transcript, 1186 nt
Organism: Oryza brachyantha (malo sina)
Lineage: Eukaryota; Viridiplantae; Streptophyta; Magnoliopsida; Poales; Poaceae
Gene name: beta-carotene isomerase D27, chloroplastic
Exons: 6
Source: RefSeq, a predicted model, not a curated record
CACCCACAGUAGCACCGUUUGCUCAGCUGAGCUAGGACGAUGUCGCCGGCGGCGUUGUUGCUGCUGGCGCCCGUGGCGGCGGCGGCGGCGCCGUGCUCGUGGAGGGCGAGGCUUCGGCGCCGCCGUGCCGUGAGGUGCGCGGCGACGACGACGCCGGCGCCGAUGGGGGAGAAGACGGAGUACCGGGACGGGCCGCUGGAGCGCGCCUUCAUGGGGCUGUUCGCGCGCAAGAUGGAGAAGCACGCCGGCUCCGGCGGGAAGGCGGGGAGGAAGAGCGAGAGGGCGGUGUGGGAGUGGGACUACGAGAGCUUCGUGGACGUGUCGCGGCGGGUCAUGGUGGGCCGGACCCGCGCGCAGCAGCAGGCGGCCGUCCGCGAGGUGCUCCUCUCCAUGCUGCCCCCCGGCGCGCCGGAGCAGUUCAGGAAGCUCUUCCCGCCCACGCGCUGGGCCUGCGAGUUCAACGCCGCCCUCACCGUCCCCUUCUUCCACUGGCUCGUCGGCCCUUCCCAAGUUAUAGAGGUUGAGGUCAAUGGAGUGAAGCAAAAGAGUGGAGUGCUCAUAAAGAAAUGCAGGUACUUGGAGAACAGCGGCUGUGUCGGGAUGUGCGUCAACAUGUGUAAAAUUCCCACGCAGAGCUUCUUCACCGAUGAGUUUGGACUCCCCCUCACCAUGAAUCCAAAUUUUGAAGACAUGAGUUGUGAAAUGAUAUAUGGGCAAGUGCCACCACCCUUGGAAGAAGACCCAGCAUCACAGCAACCUUGCUAUGCCAAUCUAUGUUCCAUAUCAACGCCUUCGGCACCAGUUUGUCCCAAACUUCAGACGUAGAAAAAGCACACUGCUUUGCUGAGUUCAGGUCUUGAUCGUUUCAGUUUCUGAUGGACACAUUCGCAUCACAGCUCAUAGCCCAUAGUAGUAGCUAGACCAACGACCGUUCAAGUUCUACCAGUCUUAUCAUUUGGUAUCACAGAAUUCAGUGGCUUCCUUGUCUGCGAACUUUUAGUCAGAUAUAGUUGCCACAAUAACCCUUAUUCUGGAUGUAAAAAUGUAGUUUGUGUAUACAAAAGUUGCUGUGCCCCUCCAGUACAUGCAUGUAAAGAUUCAUCAUGCUCUUCAAAAUGCAAUACAAAUAACCAAAUGGAAUUUUUUACGGUACACCAAGUUAUUAUGAACCAUCCAUUAUCUUUUG